RNAcentral lists this ribosomal RNA (253 nucleotides) under uncultured bacterium. Its description in RNAcentral is "partial 16S ribosomal RNA". It matches the Rfam family "Bacterial small subunit ribosomal RNA", at positions 524 to 776 of the family's 1533-position model. The record is from RNAcentral.
UACGAAGGGGGCUAGCGUUGUUCGGAUUUACUGGGCGUAAAGCGCACGUAGGCGGACUAUUAAGUCAGGGGUGAAAUCCCGGGGCUCAACCCCGGAACUGCCUUUGAUACUGGUAGUCUUGAGUUCGAGAGAGGUGAGUGGAAUUCCGAGUGUAGAGGUGAAAUUCGUAGAUAUUCGGAGGAACACCAGUGGCGAAGGCGGCUCACUGGCUCGAUACUGACGCGGAGGUGCGAAAGCGUGGGGAGCAAACAGG